GCAAAUUUUAUUUUUUCUAGGCUAGCCUAUAUAGCCAGUAUUAUGAGGUAAAGGGGUAAGGGGAGAAGAGCACAAGAUUAAGGUGUUCAUUUAAGCAGGAUGUUAGAAAACUACAGAAAGAAGAUGUUGGCAGGGUCAAAAGUUCAUGAGUGGUGGGGAGAAGGAGGGUUACCUAGGUAAAUGGUGAGAUGAGGGAGGGUUGCUUAGGUAAGUGGACUUCUGUUUGGAACAAUAGAUUGACGUCUCGGUCAUGUUGUUCCUUCUGGGUGCUAAUGAUUCUGGGAGUAACUUAUAAUCAAAAGACAGUUCUAUAAGCAUGUGGCAUGCAAAGUUUAGGCCUAAAGUUAAUGCCAACCUGCAUGGCUCCAAACAAGUCACCACCAUUCAGAGUUCCAAACUGAAUGUUUGCAGGUAUCAGGGAAGCAGAAUAUGAGCCCAUUCAGACAAGUCAGACUUCAAGCCUGAAAGUUCCUAAUUUGUCCUAACAGGAGGUAUAAAAUCAAGCAGGGGUACAUCUCACAUGUGGACUUGUGAGCUCCCAAUGAUGCCUAUUAUCAUAUGGGAGAUAAAUUCACUCUUGUGGUUUUGGUUAGCCAACCAUCUUUUAAAGACAUUAUUGUCAGCUUCCAUCCUGAUCAUUUCUUUUGUACAUUUCCAUCAUUUUUUUGAGAUUUGGCGUUGGAAAUUUCCAUAAUCACCAACUAUAAGUUAAUUUCUGAUGCAGUCAAUUACUGUGCUGUGAAAAAGAUUCACCACACUGGUUACUUUCCUAUGGUAUCUAUCCAUUAUGUGUCCUUUUAUGUACUUGAAGACUACUGUGGUGAGAAAAGACUUUACCACACUGAUUACAUUCAUACGGUUUCUCUCCAGUAUGUGUCCUUUUAUGACUUUGAAGAUGACUGUGCCGAGCAAAGGCUUUACCACACUGAUUACAUUCAUAGGGUUUCUCUCCAGUAUGUGUCCUUUUAUGCAUUAGAAGAGUACUAUGGCAAGCAAAAGCUUUCCCACACUGAUUACAUUCAUAGGGUUUCCUUCCAGUAUGUGUCCUCUUAUGCAUUUGAAGAGUACUGUGCUGAGAAAAGGCUUUACCACACUGAUUGCAUUCAUAAGGUUUCUCUCCAGUAUGUGUCCUUUUAUGCCUUUGAAGAAUACUGUGCUGAGAAAAGGCUUUCCCACACUGUUUACAUUCAUAGGGUUUCUCUCCAGUAUGUGUUCUUUUAUGCCUUUGAAGAGUACUGUGCUGAGAAAAGGCUUUACCACACUGAUUACAUUCAUAGGGUUUCUCUCCAGUAUGUGAUCUUUUAUGACGUUGAAGAGCACUGUGACGAGAAAAGGCGUUACCACACUGACUACAUUCAUAGGGUUUCUCUCCAGUAUGUGAUCUUUUAUGUCUUUGAAGAGCACUGUGAUGAGAAAAGGCUUUACCACAUUGAUUACAUUUGUAGGUUUUCUCCUCCUUAUGUCUUCUUUGAUGAAUAAGAAGAUAACACUGAUAUGCAAAGGCUUUACCACAUUGGUUGCAUUCAUAUGAUUUCUCUCCAGUGUGUUUUGUUUCAUGACUUUGGAGAUAACUGUUAUUUUCAAAGGCUUUAUCACAUUGUGUG
Molecule: long non-coding RNA, 1604 nt
Filed under: Cricetulus griseus (Chinese hamster)
Lineage: Eukaryota; Metazoa; Chordata; Mammalia; Rodentia; Cricetidae
Description: lncRNA (ENSCGRG00015032537.1)
Source: RNAcentral